RNAcentral lists this ribosomal RNA (253 nucleotides) under uncultured bacterium. RNAcentral's name for it is "partial 16S ribosomal RNA". It matches the Rfam family "Bacterial small subunit ribosomal RNA", at positions 524 to 776 of the family's 1533-position model. The record is from RNAcentral.
UACGUAGGGUGCGAGCGUUGUCCGGAAUUAUUGGGCGUAAAGGGCUCGUAGGCGGUUUGUCGCGUCGGGCGUGAAAAUCCAGGGCUUAACUCUGGACUGGCUUCCGAUACGGGCAGACUAGAGGUAUGCAGGGGAGAACGGAAUUCCUGGUGUAGCGGUGAAAUGCGCAGAUAUCAGGAGGAACACCAAUGGCGAAGGCAGCUCGCUGGAACGGUACUGACGCUGAGGCGCGAAAGCGUGGGGAGCAAACAGG